Molecule: transfer-messenger RNA, 377 nt
Filed under: bovine gut metagenome
Rfam family: transfer-messenger RNA
About the family: Bacterial tmRNA, also known as 10Sa RNA or SsrA, is named for its dual tRNA and mRNA-like properties. Its role is to liberate the mRNA from a stalled ribosome.
Source: RNAcentral
GGGGGCGUACCGGUUUCGACGGGGAUGUUGAGGCUGGAUAAGCGGGCAGCGGCGCCCAGCCGCUCUAAAAUGGGCACUUAUAAAUCAAAGAACAACGAUAGAAAUUACGUUGCUGUCGCGGCCUGAUUAGGCUCUGCGACCUGCGCCCACUGUGCGCGCACGCCGAUCCCGGGAGGGCCACGAACCGGGCUGGGUGAUGCCUUUUAGUGGCGGACGUGAGUACCCAAAGCUUUGAGGGUGCCAUGACUUUAUGAAGCUACUGAACCGGGAAGUGUGUCAGUUCACGCCCCGGCGAGGGAAUGCAAAUAACUGACUGCGCCCGGAGAAGGUCCUGAGGAUGCGUUUUCGGACAUGGGUUCGACUCCCAUCGCCUCCAU